Phrynosoma platyrhinos (Desert horned lizard) is the source of this 70-nucleotide non-coding RNA. The record is from the annotation of a GenBank genome assembly. NCBI's taxonomy places the organism in Eukaryota, Metazoa, Chordata, Lepidosauria, Squamata, Phrynosomatidae.
GCCAGUUUGGUGUAGUGGUUUGAGCACUGGACUGUGACUCUGGGGACCAGGGUUCAAAUCUCACUUGGCC